GCAGUCGCCGCGGGAAUACAGAGGGUGCGAGCGUUAAUCGGAUUUACUGGGCGUAAAGCGUGCGUAGGCGGCUUUUUAAGUCGGAUGUGAAAUCCCUGAGCUUAACUUAGGAAUUGCAUUCGAUACUGGGAAGCUAGAGUAUGGGAGAGGAUGGUAGAAUUCCAGGUGUAGCGGUGAAAUGCGUAGAGAUCUGGAGGAAUACCGAUGGCGAAGGCAGCCAUCUGGCCUAAUACUGACGCUGAGGUACGAAAGCAUGGGGAGCAAACAGGAUUAGAUACCCCAGUAGUCCCUGUCUCUUAUAC
Molecule: ribosomal RNA, 302 nt
Filed under: uncultured bacterium
Lineage: Bacteria
Description: partial 16S ribosomal RNA
Rfam family: Bacterial small subunit ribosomal RNA
Source: RNAcentral